This 353-nucleotide unclassified non-coding RNA is filed under the name Hevea brasiliensis (rubber tree). The record is from RNAcentral. Lineage: Eukaryota; Viridiplantae; Streptophyta; Magnoliopsida; Malpighiales; Euphorbiaceae.
UGCUGGUCCCAACACACAUCAACACAAUCGUGGUAGAAUCAAUAAGCCUAUUUGGGUCCCCCAAUUAGUGCACAAAGUAGAGCGAAGAAUUAUUCAUUGUGACAAUCAAUUUAAGAACUUUGAUACUAUAAAACUAUCAUACACUUAAAACAGCAAUACAGUACAACAACUUAGAAGCCAAAGAAACAUAAAAGAGAGGAUAACAGAACAGAGGUAAAGAUUCAGGAGUCACCGCCAGCCGUGAACAGCUCUAGAGUACCUUUCCUUGAGCCACCUAAAACUCUUCUUGAAAGACCCUUUAACUUUCCCUUCUACAGUGUAAAGCUUAUAGCUAGCGACUCUCUUCUUUCGUU